UUAAGUUCAGCGGGUAGUCCUACCUGAUUUGAGGUCAAGUGGUCAAGUGUUGUCCACGCAAGCGGACGGCUGGAAGCUGGGUGAAUGGGGACCUCUCCAAGUGUAGAUAUGACUAUCACACUAGGCUGCAGAUCGCCAAGAUGAGCCCCUGCUAAUGCAUUUCAGAGGAGCCGGUCCCAGAGAGCGGGGCCAGCAGAACC
RNAcentral lists this unclassified non-coding RNA (200 nucleotides) under Pluteus sp. RNAcentral describes it as "partial internal transcribed spacer 2". Lineage: Eukaryota; Fungi; Basidiomycota; Agaricomycetes; Agaricales; Pluteaceae. The record is from RNAcentral.